UGGGGAAUAUUGCACAAUGGGCGCAAGCCUGAUGCAGCCAUGCCGCGUGUGUGAAGAAGGCCUUCGGGUUGUAAAGCACUUUCAGCGAGGAGGAAGGGUUCAGUGUUAAUAGCACUGUUCAUUGACGUUACUCGCAGAAGAAGCACCGGCUAACUCCGUGCCAGCAGCCGCGGUAAUACGGAGGGUGCAAGCGUUAAUCGGAAUUACUGGGCGUAAAGCGCACGCAGGCGGUUUGUUAAGUCAGAUGUGAAAUCCCCGCGCUUAACGUGGGAACUGCAUUUGAAACUGGCAAGCUAGAGUCUUGUAGAGGGGGGUAGAAUUCCAGGUGUAGCGGUGAAAUGCGUAGAGAUCUGGAGGAAUACCGGUGGCGAAG
Molecule: ribosomal RNA, 373 nt
Filed under: uncultured bacterium
Lineage: Bacteria
Description: partial 16S ribosomal RNA
Rfam family: Bacterial small subunit ribosomal RNA
Source: RNAcentral